Molecule: ribosomal RNA, 268 nt
Filed under: uncultured prokaryote
Description: partial 16S ribosomal RNA
Rfam family: Bacterial small subunit ribosomal RNA
Source: RNAcentral
CACGUAGGAGGCAAACGUUAUCCGGAUUCACUGGGCGUAAAGCGCGUGUAGGUGGUUCUGUAAGUAGGGCGUGAAAGCUCCCGGCUCAACUGGGAGAGGCCGUACUAAACUGCAGAGCUAGAGGAUGGUAGAGGGAGGUGGAAUUCCAGGUGUAGUGGUGAAAUGCGCAGAUAUCUGGAGGAACACCAGUGGCGAAGGCGGCCUCCUGGACCAUUCCUGAUACUCAGACGCGAAAGCUAGGGUAGCAAACGGAUUAGAUACCCUGGUA